UAAGUUGGUAGUGAAAGCGUGGGGCUCAACCCCAUAAACAUUAUCAAAACUACAAAGCUAGAGGAUGAGAGAGGUUAUUGGAAUUCCUUGUGUAGGAGUGAAAUCCGUAGAUAUAAGGAGGAACACCGAUGGCGUAGGCAGAUAACUGGCUCAUUCCUGACACUAAGGCACGAAAGCGUGGGUAGCAAACGGGAUUAGAUACCCCGGUAGUCCACGCUGUAAACGAUGGAUGCUA
RNAcentral lists this ribosomal RNA (235 nucleotides) under uncultured Candidatus Saccharibacteria bacterium. Its description in RNAcentral is "partial 16S ribosomal RNA". It matches the Rfam family "Bacterial small subunit ribosomal RNA", at positions 584 to 818 of the family's 1533-position model. Lineage: Bacteria; Candidatus Saccharimonadota. The record is from RNAcentral.